This is a long non-coding RNA of Oncorhynchus keta (chum salmon), 758 nucleotides long. RefSeq lists it as uncharacterized. NCBI's taxonomy places the organism in Eukaryota, Metazoa, Chordata, Actinopteri, Salmoniformes, Salmonidae. The transcript has 2 exons. The record is from RefSeq and is a predicted model, not a curated record.
GUUAUUAUAUAUACAUAGUCACUUUAAUAACUUUACCCACAUGUCCAUAUGAUCUCAAUUACAUCGACUAACCGGUGCCCCCAGCACAUUGACUAUGUACCGGUACCCCCUGUAUAUAGCCGCGCUAUUGUUAUUUUACUGCUGCUCUUUAAUUAUUUGUUCAUUUUAUUUCCUUUUUUUGGUUGGUAUUUUUCUGAAAACUGCAUUGUUGGUUAAGGGCUUGUAAGUAAGCAUUUCACAGUUUCACUGCUGUAUUUGGUGCACGUGACUAAUACAAUUGGAUUUGAUUUGAGAUACAGGUGGAUUUCGAGGGAACCUGAACCUGUACAAGUUGUGUAAACCCCAACACUGGAAGAGAGUGCCAACAAUCCCCAAAGACUCAGACUCGUCCCUCCUGUCCCACUGGCAACCAAGCAAGAGUUUCUACAGGAACAUCAGUGUAAAGGGCUUGGUAGGAAACGUAUGUUCAUACAGAAUGUCAGACAUUACGCUUACAAGUAUUUGACCUUUUCCUGAUGAAACUUGAGAAAUGAAUAUACAAUUACAUUGAGUUAGAAUCAAUACUAUACAAAUUUGGUUCGUGAAGGCCAUUGACACUAAUAAGGGAUUUCAAUACGUAUCAAUGAGAUCAGCAUCAACACUGCUGGAGUAACAGAACAAUGGAUGACUUGGACUUCUUGCUGCAUGAAAAGACUGAGCACAAAUCUCUGUUGUGAAAAAUCCACUUAAUUCACUAAUAAAAACUUUACAAGGUAUAA